GCCGGGGUGGCGGAACUGGCAGACGCACAGGACUUAAAAUCCUGCCGCGAGAGAUCACCGUCCCGGUUCCA
RNAcentral lists this transfer RNA (71 nucleotides) under Staphylococcus pseudintermedius. RNAcentral describes it as "tRNA-Leu". Lineage: Bacteria; Bacillati; Bacillota; Bacilli; Caryophanales; Staphylococcaceae. The record is from RNAcentral.